Molecule: ribosomal RNA, 433 nt
Filed under: uncultured bacterium
Lineage: Bacteria
Description: partial 16S ribosomal RNA
Rfam family: Bacterial small subunit ribosomal RNA
Source: RNAcentral
AACGAACGCUGGCGGCAUGCCUAACACAUGCAAGUCGAACGAGACCUUCGGGUCUAGUGGCGCACGGGUGCGUAACGCGUGGGAGCCUGCCCUUAGGUUCGGAAUAACUCCCCGAAAGGGGUGCUAAUACCGGAUAAUGUCUUCGGACCAAAGAUUUAUCGCCUUUGGAUGGGCCCGCGUUGGAUUAGCUAGUUGGUAGGGUAAAAGCCUACCAAGGCGACGAUCCAUAGCUGGUCUGAGAGGAUGAUCAGCCACACUGGGACUGAGACACGGCCCAGACUCCUACGGGAGGCAGCAGUAGGGAAUAUUGGACAAUGGGCGAAAGCCUGAUCCAGCAAUGCCGCGUGAGUGAUGAAGGCCUUAGGGUUGUAAAGCUCUUUUACCCGGGAUGAUAAUGACAGUACCGGGAGAAUAAGCUCCGGCUAACUCCGUG